UCGGGAAUAUUGCGCAAUGGAGGAAACUCUGACGCAGUGACGCCGCGUAUAGGAAGAAGGUUUUCGGAUUGUAAACUAUUGUCGUUAGGGAAGAGAAAGGACAGUACCUAAGGAGGAAGCUCCGGCUAACUACGUGCCAGCAGCCGCGGUAAUACGUAGGGAGCGAGCGUUAUCCGGAUUUAUUGGGUGUAAAGGGUGCGUAGACGGGUAAUUAAGUUAGUUGUGAAAUCCCUCGGCUCAACUGAGGAACUGCAACUAAAACUGAUUAUCUUGAGUGCAGGAGAGGUAAGUGGAAUUCCUAGUGUAGCGGUGAAAUGCGUAGAUAUUAGGAGGAACACCAGUGGCGAAGGCGACUUACUGGACUGUAACUGACGUUGAGGCACGAAAGUGUGGGGAGCAAACA
Molecule: ribosomal RNA, 403 nt
Filed under: uncultured bacterium
Lineage: Bacteria
Description: bacterial SSU rRNA
Rfam family: Bacterial small subunit ribosomal RNA
Source: RNAcentral